Molecule: ribosomal RNA, 253 nt
Filed under: uncultured bacterium
Lineage: Bacteria
Description: partial 16S ribosomal RNA
Rfam family: Bacterial small subunit ribosomal RNA
Source: RNAcentral
UACGGGGGGGGCAAGCGUUGUUCGGAAUUACUGGGCGUAAAGGGCUCGUAGGCGGCCAACUAAGUCAGACGUGAAAUCCCUCGGCUUAACCGGGGAACUGCGUCUGAUACUGGAUGGCUUGAGUUCGGGAGAGGGAUGCGGAAUUCCAGGUGUAGCGGUGAAAUGCGUAGAUAUCUGGAGGAACACCGGUGGCGAAGGCGGGUCUCUGGGCCGAUACUGACGCUGAGGCGCGAAAGCGUGGGGAGCAAACAGG